CUACGGGAUGCAGCAGUCGGGAAUAUUGCGCAAUGGAGGAAACUCUGACGCAGUGACGCCGCGUAUAGGAAGAAGGUUUUCGGAUUGUAAACUAUUGUCGUUAGGGAAGAUAAAAGACAGUACCUAAGGAGGAAGCUCCGGCUAACUACGUGCCAGCAGCCGCGGUAAUACGUAGGGAGCAAGCGUUAUCCGGAUUUAUUGGGUGUAAAGGGUGCGUAGACGGGAAGACAAGUUAGCUGUGAAAUCCCUCGGCUUAACUGAGGAACUGCAACUAAAACUAUUUUUCUUGAGUGUUGGAGAGGAAAGUGGAAUUCCUAGUGUAGCGGUGAAAUGCGUAGAUAUUAGGAGGAACACCGGUGGCGAAGGCGACUUUCUGGACAAUAACUGACGUUGAGGCACGAAAGUGUGGGGAGCAAACAGGAUUAGAUACCCCUGUAGUC
This 440-nucleotide ribosomal RNA is filed under the name uncultured bacterium. Its description in RNAcentral is "partial 16S ribosomal RNA". It matches the Rfam family "Bacterial small subunit ribosomal RNA", at positions 339 to 795 of the family's 1533-position model. The record is from RNAcentral.